Molecule: ribosomal RNA, 494 nt
Filed under: uncultured bacterium
Lineage: Bacteria
Description: bacterial SSU rRNA
Rfam family: Bacterial small subunit ribosomal RNA
Source: RNAcentral
AUUGAACGCUGGCGGUAUGCUUAACACAUGCAAGUCGAACGGUAACAGGCCUUCGGGCGCUGACGAGUGGCGGACGGGUGAGUAACGCGUAGGAAUCUGCCUCAUAGUGGGGGACAACGUGGGGAAACUCACGCUAAUACCGCAUACGCCCUACGGGGGAAAGCGGGGGAUCUUCGGACCUCGCGCUAUGAGAUGAGCCUGCGUUAGAUUAGCUAGUUGGUAGGGUAAAGGCCUACCAAGGCGACGAUCUAUAGCUGGUCUGAGAGGACGAUCAGCCACACUGGGACUGAGACACGGCCUAGACUCCUACGGGAGGCAGCAGUGGGGAAUAUGGACAAUGGGCGCAAGCCUGAUCCAGCAAUACCGCGUGUGUGAAGAAGGCCCUAGGGUUGUAAAGCACUUUCAAUUGGGAGGAAAAACCUGCCGGUCAAUACCCGGCAGCUUGACAUUACCUUUAGAAAGAAGACACCCGGCUAAACUCCGUGCCAGCAGCC